CACUCACACUACUGAAAGCAAUGGAGAAAAGUCAGUUGAAGCCUAAUCUUGUGAUCUAUAGCAGUCUCAUCAAUGGUAUGUGCAAAGUUGGGAAGCUUAAUGAUGCCAAGGAACUUUUUUCUAGUCUUUUUGAAAUUGGUUUACAACCUGAUGUUUAUGUAUAUAGUGCAAUUAUGAAAGGACUAUGCCAACAAGGAUUAAUGGAUGAGGCGUAUAAGGUAUUUAAAGACAUGGAAAAGGUAGGAUGUUUACCAAAUAAUUGUUGUUAUAAUAUCAUCAUUCAAGGGUUUCUCAAGCAUGAGGAUUUACCAAAAGCAUCAGAACUAAUCAACGAAAUGGUUGAUAAGGGGUUCUCUGCUGAUGAUGCUACCACAGAAUUGGUAGUACAUUUGUCGCAGAAUAAUGAUCUCAUUCUAAGCAAACUACGAAAUCGUUCUGAGGCUUCUAAAGCUGUGCAAUGAGGGAUCAGCAAACUAAAGUUGUUAUAUCUUGACCGUUCAAUGGUGUCUUGGAGAGAAACUUGGUAAUUACCUUCUUCAAAUGUAGUAAAUAUGUAAUUUAACUAACUUCAAAUUUCGUUUUUAAUUUCAAUCAGCUGUGAUUCUCUUCCACAAAACAAAAAUUUCUAACACUGUAAAUUACCUGCAGUGGAAACCAUGAUAUAUGUGUGCCUUUCGCUUGAACUCAGACAUGGAUUAGAUCUCUUUGGAUAUAAGAUUGUUGAUGAAUGGAGGUCAUAGAUUUCAAAUGAUCAAGUUGCUGGUAAACCCACCAUCUUCCUUACAACUUUUUUUUGGGCUGCUACUACAGCCUUAACUCGAGAGCUCAGUCAAUGAGUUGAGAACUAAAACUAAUUGAUUCCAUGCUACAAUGCUUAAGAAUCUUUAUCUAUUUUACUUUUGUACUCAAUGACCUUUUAAGAUGCUAUCAUUUUUCUUGUAGCUACUUGCCAGGAUAUGAUUACAAGUUCACCUUUCUAACCAUAAAGGCAUAAGCAAUUCAUUUUUGCUUAAUUAUUAUAUUUUUAAGAAUAAUGAAAGUAAUAAUUAUAAAGGGCUUUAGUUAAGAAUUGAUUUAGCAAUUAGACUAUGCUAUAAAUGCAGGGUGCAGGAUAUACAGCCCCAGGAUACAAGUGUAGUGGUUGAGAAAUCUAGCAUUUUUCUUUUUCGAUUUCUUGGUUGACAGAAAUCUACCAAUUUUAGUUGUUGAGAUUGUUGAAUCAACACGUGAUCAGCAGGUACAAGAGAACUUUGUUAUAUUGCGAGUUAUAAUUACUUCAAUCUGUUUCACAUCCUGCAGUUAGUUGUCUUUGCUCUUUACAAGAAAUGUUUUAGGGUUAGCACUAAACUCAUGUUUCUAGGCUGUACAAGCAGCUUAACUUUGCUGAAUCCGUUGCAAUGUUACAUUGGUCUGCAAUAACUAAAAUAAAAAAACUCCAGACUUCGGUUUUGUGUAUACAAUCAGAAAAUGUUGGUUGUUCUUUUAUGUAUGCCAAUUUUCUCCCACUUUGAAAUUCAAUUUUCUGGUAUAACAAUCUAUAAUUAUAUCUAGUUUUUUAAGUGUCAGAUCAUCUAUUGUCACAUGUGAAAAAUAUCUAAAGACAAGAGCAGCAAUUUUUUUUCUUAUUUUUGUGUAUGCUCAACUUAAAAGGGCUUUUUUUUUUUUCAUUAUUGGUCUGGCUAUGUGAAGUAAGUGUGCAACAAAAUGGUAGAGGUGUCUUUACCACAUUCUGGUUGUUAUAUCUUGACCAUUCAAGGUGUCUUGGAGUGCAACUUGGUAAUUACCUUCUUCAAAUGUAGUAGAUGUGUAAUUUAAUUAACUUAUUCAAAUGUCAUGUUUAAUUUCAGUCAGCUGUGAUUCUCUGCCACAAAAAGAAAAUUUCGAACACUUGGUAAAUUGCUGGCAGUGGAAACCAUGAUAUGUGUGUGCCUUUCGCUUGAACUCAGGUAUGGACUAGAUCUCCUGGAUAUAAGAUCUCUUGAACUCAGAUAUUUGCUCAAUGACCUUUUAAGAUGCUAUCAAUUCUCUUGUAGGUACUUGCAAGGAUAUGAUUACAACUUCACCUUUCUAACCAUAAAGGUAUAAGCAAUUAUUUUUUGCUUAAUUAUUAUAUUUUUAAUAAUAAUGAAAAUAAUGAUUAUAAACAAGUGGGGCUAUAAUUGAGAAUUGAUUUAACAAUUAGACUACACUAUAAAUGCAGGGUGCAGGAUAUACAGCCCCAGGAUACAAGAUAAGAGAAUCACUAGACUUCUAGCUGUUGGUUGGAUGAAAAGUCACUAAAAUUGUAGACAACAAAAAUUGUUAUGAGAAUUGAGGAAAAAGCAAAACAUCCUCUUUGUCACCUUUUUUUUUUCCCCUAGUCAUCCAGUUGGGUAUAUAUAUAGAUAUAGAUCCUUAAUUUCUUUUAUUUUCCUACGAAUCAAAUUAGUGAAAUCAUUGCAUUAGCAUCUAAUACUAUGAAGUUCACAAUCUUUUCCUUUAAAAUCAAUUUUUUAACUCAUGGAAAUUUGAAUUUUAGAAAUGCUUGUGGAAGGUAUAUAUAUUCUUCCCUUUGAGAUUCUUUACUUUGGCGGAGUUGAUGGGAUGUGUAAUUAGUCCAUUUUAAGGAUAGUUAAUUGCAAUAGCUAUCAAAUAUAGUUAGUCCAUUUUAAGGAUAUGAUUAAAAUCACUGCCCUUGCUUUGGCCUAAUGCAACUAUUUUCCAACUGCUUCCUAAAUUAUAGAUCCAGGAUUAUAUAUUAUUCAAAGAAAUAUGAUGUAUAUUGGGCCAAGGAGAAAAGGGUUUUGCCUGCUUCUUUUAAGUUAUGUAUGGGUACUGCUUCUUUCAACUUUAUAUCACAAGGUCACUUAACUUCACUUUUCUAAUUUGAUUAUUCCAUUGUGGAUCUAUCAUUCUAAAAAUUUGUUAGAUUUUUAUUAAGAUUGCUUUAUGUUCUCUUCAUGCCUUUCUCUAUGAAUUAAUGGAAUCAUCUACCAAACAAUUCAAAACGUGAGUAGCUUAUGUUGAGACAGUAAAACAUUUUCAGCUAAAUAGACUGCACUUCUUAUAUGGGAAGUUGAUGCAUGGAGAUGGUUAAGGAAGAUGUCAUCCAUGUUUUUCUUAUUGUUCGUUAGAUAUGUUAGCAUAUCACAGAUCUUGGUUAAAAGCUAAAAUAAAAGACAAGUUUUGUCAAUUGAAAUUUGACACUGGCUAUGCAACUAAAUCUCUCUCUCUCUCUCUCUCUCCCCUUGAGAAAUCGUAUUACUUUAUUUAUUAUAACACGUUAACACGCUUCAUUGCUUCAUCCAUUGUAUUAAAAGUACAGGAAAAUUUUUCCAUGCUAUAUUUGUCUAACACAUUUAACCUGGGCCAUAAACUAUAACAAAAAGAAUUAUUGUAUGAUGCUAUGCUUAUAUGACCAUAUCGUUGUUGGUUGGCCUACGAAAUAGUGCAUUGAACUUAUGUGGGACUUGUUAAAUUUGAUCCAGGUCUAAUUCAUUCUAAAAAUAGUGCAUUGAACUUAUGUGAGACUUGUUAAAUUUGAUACAGGUCUAACUCAUUCUAAAAACUAGUUCAAAGGGAGUUUAAGGGGAGGAGUGUCUAUAACUCAUAUAAGAGCAUAUUAUCCCUUUCCACAAUAAAUGUGGGAUUCAACACACCCUUUAUGUUCAGAAUUUUAUUGGUGCGUGAUAUAUUUAUGGGAGGUCUAACAUCGGAUGGGAAGGUUUUGAUACGAUAAGAAUUUAUCUCUAAUUUAUAACUCAGCAGAAAACAUAGAGAAUAGAGAAUAAAGUAGAAAAAUGGAAUUACAUUUUUUUUUUGUAAAAAUGAAGGCUAUUUAUAGUAGAAAACCACAAAAUCUUUUGAAAUUAGUUGGACUUUGGGUUGAGUCCACCGGUUCGCUCGCGGUGUGCACCUGUCGGCUCGUCCCUUCUGCCGACGAUGCGCUCCUGGCCAUAAUUGGUCAGGUCAUGCCUUUGUUACUUUGAAGAAAUUAGGGUGUUCAAAGCAAGUUUACGCUCUGAUACCCUGUUAAAUUUGGAACAGGCUUAACUUACUUCAAAAACUAACUCAAGAGGAGUGCUGCCUAUGCCCCAUAUAGGGGGCAAAUUAUUUUGAAGUAUAGCCAAACUUAGACGUAUUGUAUUCCUGUGUACUCCAGUGAAUUUCCCUGUCCUAGCUUUCUGGUGGAAACCAACCGUUAGUCUUGAACAUUCUCUGUGGGUAUGCUAACCAAUUUUUUUAGUACACAAAUUAUUUGCACAUGCAGUUCAUUUAGGAGUCUUCUACAUCAAUCAUAAACAUGGGAAGAUUAGUUUAAUAUAGUGGUCAUGCUUUUCCUUAUUAUUAUUAUUAUUUACAUUAACCCACUUCCAAUCGCUAGAGACUUCAAAGUUCUUGAUCAGGAAAACAAACAUCACCAUGGUUGUGUUCUUUAUGGUAUAUGGAUUUUAAAAAGACAUAUAAUAGUAUAAUCUAAUGAGUAUCUAAAAACACGAGUAAGUUGAGUUGAAGAGUUUUGGUUGUUUGAACAGAGGCUCAAAUAAAAUUAUAUUUUAAUGUUAUUAUUUUCGUUAUUCUAAUGUGUAUAAAUUUGAUUUAAAUGCGGAAUGUUGUAGAGUACAUGAAAAUGAUCCAUUAACAAGCAAAGUUAUACCUUCCUCUCAUCUAAUGUGAAAAACAAUUUUAUCUAGAAACUGUUGUUUUUGAAAUGGAAUUUUUUUUCAAAUUUUUAAGAUGAUCAUAAUGCUUAUUAUAUCAUUUGCUUUUAGAUUUAGUAUCUUUACAAAAAAAAAAUAGUGAAAUACCAACAAAAAAUUUUAAUCGCUAUUGGAGAGCAAUCGGUCGCGCAAUUGGUGAGCAAAUCAACUAGGUUGUGUUUGGACUGUCGCUAAAUAUUUUAGCGACUAAACACCAAUUGGUCGCUAGUUGAAUGACCAAUUAGCAACCACAUUUUGGUUGCUAAUUGAGUGUGAAGACAAAUCCACCAUCAGAAAUUGUGGUUGCUAAAUUCAUCACAAAUUAGUCAUCGUAUAAUGUUCACAAAUUAGUCCCUAAUUGGACGCUAAAGGGUUGUAAUAUGGUAGCUAUAUGAAGGAUAAAAACCAUAUAUUGAUCGCUAAUUUAUAGUAAUCGAAAAAGGUCUUUGGUAGGAUCAUAAUAUGGUUGCUAUAGAAGGAUAAAAACCAUCUAUUGGUCGCUAUUUUAUCGCUAAUUGAUAAUAAUUGAAAAAGGAUUUUGAUCGCUAUAUACGAUUUGAUUGCUAAUUGUGGAUGAUUGGUCACUAAUUGACCGAUUAUUGCAACUGAAGCUAAUUUGUUUCUUUUUUUUUCUAAUAUAUUUAUAAAUAUGUUAUACUAACAAUACGAACAUAUGAAAUCCAUAAUUUUGAUACUUAAAAUAUAAAAACACUAAUGUAAUCCAAUGCUAAAAGACAUGAAUACUAAAAAUAUAUGAUAUAUUUAAAUAGUAUCAAUAAGUUCAAGUACUUAAGAAGUAUUAAAAAGUAAAACUAUCAAAUAAUAAUUUUUUUUAAUAUACUGUGAUUCAAAAACUAUGACAGUAUUAAAGGAAAACCUAUUAUGUAUAAAAAAAUUCUCAAAUAUUUUUAUUUUCAACCAUUUAGUUUUUAAUUUUGGCUGUUUUUGUUACGCUAUGCUUUUCUCUAGCUCAACUUCUGUGCUUUUUUAUCUCUCUCAAGUGUAGUAGCAGAACGACUCAACACUUGUUAGCUAUUACCGCCAGCAUAAAAUUUAAAUCAAGUUCUUCUUCUCAAUUCAUCUUCUUUCAACUGUCUCAUACUCGCCCGUCUCGUCAUUUUCAUUUCAAUGUCCUCCUCGUCCUCCUCCUCAUAACCAUCUUCAAUUCUAUUUAUAUUCAUAAUUUCUUCUUGUAUGCUAGCAAAUCCGAAGAAUCCAUUGUUGCUAAAAUGGAAAAGAAAUUCUAAUAAAAGAAGAAUGAAGACGCAUGUGUCAAAUAGGCUGGAAGCAAAUUCUAAUGAGAGAAUAUUGCUUUGUUAGGAUUAGGGUUUAUAAGGUGAAUAUGUUAUUUAAAAGAGAAAUAAGGGGUUUUUUUUUUUUCUAUAUCAAUUAACAGAUUCCGUUGAGAUAAUUUAAUAGAAGAAUUAGAUUAUUGUAUUUAUAAAUAAUGAAAGGUAUUUUAAUUAGUUUUAAAAAUUAUAGAAAUUAACUAAUAAAUUUUUUAAAAAUUCAGAACUAAAUAAUAUUUUGCCUUAUUUUUAUAUGAAAAUUUAAUAAAAACUUAAUGCAAAUAAACAACGAGUAAUGCAUUUCCUUUCCCAAUUUCCUUUCCAAAUUUCCUUUCCUUAUACUUACCACUUUACCAGCAGGCAGAGAGCCUUUCUUUUCCGAUUCUCUAUUUCCUUUCCUCAUUCCCAAUCUCCGAUCCAUCCCUAAAAACAACUGACGAGAGAUCGAUGAUGAUGAAGAUGCCUUGGGGGAGGAAGAGCAGGAGCUUCCAUCUUCAGCUACAAGGGGCAAUUGGUACCAUUCAAUCUCCAUUCCUAUUCUUAUUUACCAAUUAUUGCCAUUCUUCUACUUCCACACUUGAAGAUGCACGCUUCUUGACAAAUAAUUUCAAAUCUGCUUCUUUUACCCACCUUGAUGAUGCCAUUGCUUCCUUCAAUCAUGUAAUUNNNNNNNNNNNNNNNNNNNNNNNNNNNNNNNNNNNNNNNNNNNNNNNNNNNNNNNNNNNNNNNNNNNNNNNNNNNNNNNNNNNNNNNNNNNNNNNNNNNNNNNNNNNNNNNNNNNNNNNNNNNNNNNNNNNNNNNNNNNNNNNNNNNNNNNNNNNNNNNNNNNNNNNNNNNNNNNNNNNNNNNNNNNNNNNNNNNNNNNNNNNNNNNNNNNNNNNNNNNNNNNNNNNNNNNNNNNNNNNNNNNNNNNNNNNNNNNNNNNNNNNNNNNNNNNNNNNNNNNNNNNNNNNNNNNNNNNNNNNNNNNNNNNNNNNNNNNNNNNNNNNNNNNNNNNNNNNNNNNNNNNNNNNNNNNNNNNNNNNNNNNNNNNNNNNNNNNNNNNNNNNNNNNNNNNNNNNNNNNNNNNNNNNNNNNNNNNNNNNNNNNNNNNNNNNNNNNNNNNNNNNNNNNNNNNNNNNNNNNNNNNNNNNNNNNNNNNNNNNNNNNNNNNNNNNNNNNNNNNNNNNNNNNNNNNNNNNNNNNNNNNNNNNNNNNNNNNNNNNNNNNNNNNNNNNNNAUGGUUUUUGCAAAUUAGGCCAAAAGAACCAAGCUUUGGCUUUGAUGAAUGAAAUGGUGGAGCAAAACGUAUUACCAAAUGAUUAUACCUUCAAUGUAUUGAUUGAUGCUCUUUGUAAGGAUGGAAUGGUUUCAGAGGCUCAAAAUACAUUCAAUGUAAUGAUUCAAAGAGGUGGAGAGCCUAAUGUGAUCACAUACAAUUCCUUAAUUGAUGGUCUUUGCAUUUCAGACCAAUUGAAGGAAGCUUUGGCCUUAUUGAAAGAAAUGGUGGGGAGGAACAUAUCCCCUGAUGUUUUUACCUUCAAUAUAUUGAUCGACACUCUUUGUAAGAAAGGACUGGUUUCAAAUGCACAAAAUAUAUUCAAAAUAAUGAUUCAAAGAGGUGUGGAACCUACCGUUGUCACUUAUAGUUCAUUGCUGGAUGGAUAUUGUCUAGGCAACCAAAUUGAUAAGGCUAGAAAGCUAUUUGAUCUGAUGGUGACCAAUGAAAUAGCUGACAUUUUUAGCUACAACAUUUUGAUCAAUGGAUAUUGUAAGUGCAAAAUGAUAGAUGAUGCAAAGGAGCUUUUUGAUGAAAUGUCUCAUAAAGGUUUAGUUCCUGAUGUUGUUACUUAUUCUACUCUUAUAAAGGGUAUGUUUCAAGCAGGGAGGCCCCAAAAUGUAAAAGAGCUCUUUAAGGAUAUGUGCUCUCAUGGUCAACAGCCAAAUAUAGUAACCUUCUCAAUUAUGAUUGAUGGCUUGUGUAGACAAGGGAAUCUAGAUGAGGCACUCACACUAUUGAAAGAAAUGGAGAAAAGUCAGUUGAAGCCUAAUCUUGUGAUCUAUAGCAGUCUGAUCAAUGGUAUGUGCAAAGUUGGGAAGAUUAAUGAUGCCAAGGAACUUUUUUCUAGUCUUUUUGAAAUUAGUUUGCAACCUGAUGUUUAUGUAUAUAAUGCAAUUAUGAAAGGACUCUGCCAACAAGGAUUAAUGGAUGAAGCGUAUAAGGUAUUUAAAGACAUGGAAAAGGUAGGAUGUUUACCAAAUAAUUAUUGUUAUAAUAUCAUCAUUCAAGGGUUUCUCAAGCACGAGGAUUUACCAAAAGCUUCAGAACUAAUCAACGAAAUGGUUGAUAAGGGUUUCUCUGCUGAUGCUACUACCACAGAAUUGGUAGUACAUUUAUCACGGAAUAAUGAUCUCAUUCUAAGCAAACUACGAAAUCGUUCUGAGUCUUCUAAAGCUGUGCAAUGAGGGAUCAGCAAACUAAAGUUGUUAUAUCUUGACCAUUCAAUGGUGUCUUGGAGAGAAACUUGGUAAUUACCUUCUUCACAUGUAGUAAAUAUGUAAUUUAACUGACUUCAAAUUUCGUUUUUAAUUUCAAUCAGCUGUGAUUCUCUUCCACAAAACGAAAAUUUCUAACACUGUAAAUUACCUGCAGUGGAAACCAUGAUAUGUGUGUGUUUUUCGCUUGAAUCAGACAUGGACUAGAUCUCUUUGGAUAUAAGAUUGUUGAUGAAUGGAGGUCAUAGAUUUUUAAUGAUCAAGUUGCUGGUAAACCCACCAUCUUCCUUACAAUUCUUUUUUUGGGCUGCUAAUACAGCCUUAACUCGAGAGCUCAGUCCUAAAAAUGAGUUGAGAACUAAAACUAAUUGAUUCCAUGCUAUAAUGCUUAAGAAUCUUUAUCUAUUUAACUUUUGUGCUCAAUGACCUUUUAAGAUGCUAUCAUUUUUCUUAUAGCUACUUGCCAGGAUAUGAUUACAACUUACCUUUCUAACCAUAAAGGUAUAAGCAAUUUGUUUUUGCUUAAUUAUUAUAUUUUUAAUAAUAAUGAAAAUAAUGAUUAUAAACAAGUGGGGCUUUAAUUGAGAAUUGAUUUAGCAAUUAGACUACGCUAUAAAUGCAGGGUGCAGGAUAUACAACCCCAUAAUACAAGUGUAGUGGUUGAGAAAUCUACCAUUUUUCUUUUCGGUUUCUUGGUUGACAGAAAUCUACAAUUUUAGUUGUUGAGAUUGUUGAAUCAUGUGAUAGUAAAUUAGUUACAAUGGCUGUAUAUUAAGGAAAAAUACUUAGGAAAUCAUCUCUGUAUGAUAUAUUUUUAUUAUAUAAUAAUAAUACAAUCAAGUAUGAUCAUUUUGUCAAUAUGGUAUAUAACAAAUAUACUUUAGUGUUGGACCACCUAUUGAGUUAUUUAUAUGGUGCAUUUUGUGAUACGUUUAUAUGGUGUUAUGAAGGCGAAACACAUUGUUUCUUACUGUUUGAGAAAAGUUGGGCAAGAAAAGUUGCUUUGGUUGUUUCUUUUCUCUUUUCAGCUGUACAUUAUGCAAGAUUUUGUGUAUUUAGCACAUUGUAAACCUUGUAACAUAAUAAAAUUUUCUUUGAGCUUUUGUUUAUACAUGGUGUUUUUCUUUUUGCUUGCUGCGUUAUUCUUGAAGUUUUUUUUGAUUCUGCGUCCAUGGCAAAAGGAAGUGUUAGUUUGUCAGAGAAGGUAGGGUUUGACAGGGUACAUAUUGAGACGUAGGAAACCAAUUGCAAAAUGAUUCAGAUCCUUUGAGACUUCAAAACUCAAAUAAUCAAGGUAUGAUCUUUAUAUCUGCACCUUUAAGUGGACUAAAUUAUUUGAGUUGGAGUAUAUCUAUGACACUUGCUUUAAGAGCAAAAGACAAGUUAGGAUUUGUAAAUAGUAGUGUGCGAAUUCCUCCUGUUGGCACCACUGGUUUUGAGAAGUGGAUUAGAGUUGAUAGCAUGGUGGGUUAGAUUUUGAAUUCCAUCUCGAAGUAUCUAGUGGAAGCUUUUUGUAUGCAUAUAGUGCAAAGGAUUUAUGGGAGGAAAUUAGAAGAAAGAUUUAAGCUGACUUAUAUACCAAUUAAAGAAAGAAUUAAGUAGUUUCAGUCAAGGAUCUAUAUUAGUCGUUUUCUUUACAAAAUUGAAGAAACUAUGGGAUGAACUUAGUGUUUCAAAGCAUGAUUUAACUAUUUGUGAAUGUGGUGCUUUUGAAGUAUAGCUUGAGAGUGAGAGAAUUAAUCAGUUGUAAAGCUUUUAUAAAGAGUUUCAGAUAGAGUUUAAGAUAGAUUAUGUGACAUUUGUAAAACUUUUGGGCACAUAGAUACCCUGGUUGGUUUAAAAAUUAUAAGCAAAAGAAGAUUGGCUUUAACAAUGAAAAUCAGACUUAUGGAGCCACUGAGGACCUUCGGAACUCACAUCAGUUGUAGAGCGUGCGUGUAUAGGAUUUAUAUGAAAUUAAGGACUUUGUCAAAUAUAUUUUUGAUUAUAGGCCGGCUAGGUGAAAUGGAUUUUUCUGACUUUGCAGCUAACGCUAUGUAUAACACAUGUAUAUUCUUGCUAUAUAUACUUGAUAAAAUUUUCUUAAAUUCGUUGGAAUGAAUAAUUUAGGUGAAAUGGAUUUUCAUAACACAAGUAUAAGAGUAAAAUUUUGUAUAUAGUAUUUUGUAUUAUAUUAAAAUCAAAUUAUAAAUAAAAUAAUUAACAAUAAAUGUUAUAUAUGCUAAAAAUAUUAUUAGUAUCUUUUAAAUUAUAAAUGUCUAAAUAUAAUUUAUUAUUAAAUUUUCAUAGUUUUAUGUAAAAUAAAAAUGUUAAAGCAUUAAAACUUUAGUCAUAUCUUUCAAAUUAUAUCUUUCAAAUUAAAAAUCACCGAAUUUAAUUUAUUAUUGAAAAUUAAUAAUUUUAAAUAAAAUAAAAAUAUAUCAUAUUAAUUUUGCAAUUGUUAUUGUAUUAGGAUUUUGCAAAAUUAAUAAUUUUGCCAUUGUUAUUGUUUAAAAUUAAUAAUUUUAAAGGGAAAAUUCAUUUUCAUGAAUAGAUCAGCCCCGCGCGGAGCACCCGACUCGGAGGUAUAAAACAGGCCGGAUUAGACAUGCGCGCAGCCCCAUCAUUUGGAAACUCAGUCUGGUGACAUGACAGGAGGUAGGCAAGGCAGACUCAGUCACUUCGUAGCUCUGCCCGCAUGCGCGCAGGGGAAUUAAAUGGCCGCAUGGUCAUAGCCAUGCCCGCAUGCGCGCCAGGAAAAGUUAAAUUGUCGCCUGGCGUAGAGAGGGGUUCUGAUGCGUCGUACGUACGGAAACACUGUAACAGAGAUGCUGUUAGACGUCACUAGUAGAUAAAAGGAAAAGGGAUAAAAGGGGAGGAACAUCUUCCUCUCUAUCUAAACUUGUUCUUAUAUUGUAAAUCCUAUAGGGAUAAAAGGGGAGAAUGUCUUUCUCUCCAUCUAAGCUUACUCUCAUACUAAGCUUACUUUUAUACCGUAAAUCCUAUUUUUUGAAUUUCAGAAUAUGAGAUCAAAUUUAAUUCACUAAUUGUUAUUAUAAUGUUAUGUAUAAAAAUUAAAAAAUAUAAAAAAUAAUAGUAAAAUAUUGUUUAGUCUUUGAAGUAUACUAAAAUCUCUGCUUUAAUACCCAAAUUACUUACUAUAAUCGAAGAGAGAAGUAAGAGCAUUUUCCUUUAUUAUCUGUCCAUAUAAAAUACAUCAUCACCUCUUUAAAGAGAAUGGGUCAGAGCAAUGUUAGAAAACAUCUAUUUCUAAAGUGUUAAAUUUGGUUGCACAAAAAUAGAGUGGAGCUUUUGGAACUAGAAGAACACAUUUUUUGGAGGGCAAACUCAAAGUGGAAAUAUGAUGAUUCAUCUUACUUUGAGAAAGAGAAAUAUCUAAAUGUUAAUCAAAUUAAGAGUCCUACUAGAAGUUUUUAUACCAUAUUUCUGAUUAGAUUCAUAAUAGGAGAGACAAUUUGGUUUUAGGAGGUGAUUUAUUUAGAGAUCACAUAGACAACUAGUUACAAGGUUUUUCUAUCCCUUUUGACGGAUUACUAAUUUUAGUAAUCACAUACAUUUUCUCUAUUGCUAAUAGAAAUCUUAAAGACUUUUAGGUCCAAUUGUAUUGCGAAUAGAGACCUUAAAGACUUUUAGGUCCAAUCGAGCCGCUCAACUUUCAUUUUUAAUAUUUUAAUUGAGUCAAAUACCUUUCAAUUUUAGUGUGUUAAUUGAGUCAAAUAAAUAAGUAAAAUAAGUUUUUAAGGAAUUAAAUAUUUGUUUUAUAUUUUAAGUAAUUAAAAUAAAACUAAAUAAAUCAUUUAUAAAAAAAUUGUAACGACCCGGAAAUCGAAUCGUUACCGGCGCUAGGAUUCAGAUCGACUUAAGGUCGCCGGAACCCGUAGCAAGCUUAACAUACAACCUGUCAUACCUGAUAGAAUCCCAUACAUGAAUAUACAUUUACAUAAAAACUUAAACUUUCCAUAUAACCAAGUUUAACCUUGCAUGUAUUAUAAACUUAAAACAUAAAACCCAUACUAGAGCCCUCAUCGUAUGCUCCAGUAUGGUCAACAUACAUGCCUCACUUGGUUCAACAUAUCAUAAAUAUAAAACAUUUUAUUUAAAGCUCAUGUAAACUGGGAUUUCAAGCCAUCAUUAUGGCCAAGUACAAUACUAAUCCACAAUGCAUUACAUGUCCACUACUAAUCUAUUACAUUAAAUUUUAUCCAAAACCUUGCUGACUCUCCCAGAGCUACCUGUGAUUCUGCAAACCUGGGGGUUAAGGGAAAGGGGUAAGCUACAAGAACCUGGUGAGCAGAACCAUGAAAACAGUUUAAUAAACAUAUGCUCUCAUGAAAUGCAUCACAACACAAACAAUACACAUCAAGGAUGGACUUGUCACCAAUAACCCUCUACAUAAUCCAAUUGAUGCCCGACUCUCGACGGAGCUCCUCAAGACUUUCUCUUAAACAUAACAUAAUAUAUCCAACUGUGCCAGGGGCGUAGAAUGGGCAACCCUGGUCUUUCCCUUACAUCGUGCCAGGGGCGUAGAAUGGGCAGCCCUGGUCUUUCCGUAUCAUAUCAUAUCAUAUCAUAUCAUAUCGAGAGCUAAUGGGUCAUCCAAUAUCCAUCCACAUCAACAGCAAAUUAUGCAAUGCAUCAUAUUCGUGAAUUUCUAAUGCAAACAUCCUAAUACAUAAUAUGGCAUUCGUGAUGCAUGAACAUGCUCAAAAGCUUAGUACUUUAAAAUUUAGAAUUCAGUUCUACUCACCUUUGGCUGGUACUCAAUUGACUCUGAAGCAGCUAACUCACUGCUGGUCUCUUCGGUUUCUCAGGUCUGAUCCUACACAGGUGGACUCAAAUGAGGGACCAAACAUACUCUAGCAAGACUCUAAACAUCUCCCCAAAAACCCCCUAAAACAUCAUAAAACAUACACACAAAAUAAGCAAAGGAAGACUGGGCAGAGGACUUUCGGCGGCAGGUUCGGCGGCCAAAGGUCCCUAAGAUCCGAAAGUCAGGCACUUUCGGGGGCAAGGUUCGGCGGCUGAAAGCCUUCACAGACCCGAAAGUCACUAACCUUCAGGGGCAGAUUCGGCGGCCGAAACUCCCCUCCAGAUUCGAAAGUCUAUGCUUUCAGGGGCAGUUUAGGCGGCCAAAGGCUGCCUCCCCUAGCAGGUUCGGCGGCCGAACCUUCCUUUGGCGGCCGAACCUGGGUCUUCCUGAGUGACCGGACCCGAUUCUACCUCACACAUCCAGCCACCAAAACUUUCCAAAACACACAUCCAACUAUUCUAAAACAUGCAUACACAUUUCAACAUGCAUAAGGGGCAUAAAACUAGCCUAAAUCCCAACAAACAACACAAACAUCACAUUAAGCAUAAAGUUAACGUAAACCCUAACAUAUUAAUCUACUAAAAAACAUGCAUUAUAUACCCUUAACCCCUUUUAAAACUUACUUAAAACAUAAGAAUAGAUGAGGAUCUACACUUACCUCUCGAAGAUCGAGAGUAGAUGUGAUCCGAACUCGGAGAUGAGGAGAAAAUGGUCUCCAGAGGUCUCCAAGCUUCAAAACUUCGAUUUUAGCUUAAAAUCUUCAAAGCAAAGCAAAACUCAUAAAAACUCAAAAAGAUUUAAAGGAAAAACCACGAAAUCGAUAAUGGAAGGGCAAAAACUCACCUUUGCUCGAAAAUGGAGAGAGAAACCCUCCCAUUUUCAGACAUGGGGCCUCUUAUAGGUGGCUGGCCAGACCACCUUCGGGAGCCGAAAGAGCUCCCGCGGCAGCACCAUGUUCGGCGGCUAAACAUGAGGUUCGGCUGCCGAACCUAGUGUUCUCCCUCAAAAUCUUUUUCUUUCAUUUUUAAAACUUUAAUCCAAAAUCAAAUAAUAAAAUCAUGAAAAUCAUUUUGUAAAAACAUAUUUUACCCUUCCAGAGGUUCCGGUAUCCGAGAUUCCGGAUUUCAACGGAGAUUCCGUUGGAAAGUUAGAAUUCCGACGCCAGAAUCUAGCCGGGUAUUACAAAAAUAAAUACAUAAAAUCUAACCCCAUUUCAUUCCAUCCUCAUCUAUAUCUUCAUCAUGGACAAAUCCAAAUUCCAUCUAACCUCAUCUCCUCUACCAUCAUCGUUUACUUACUCACCCAAUCUCAAAGCAUUAUUAUUCAAUAUCUUUUUUCUUGCAUCUCUAGCAUUAAGUGACUUAGAAAUGCUCUUUAAGCUUCCUUUAUAUGCCACCGUCAAUAUACCCUCCAAACUUAAGAACUACUUUCAUGUUAGUUGAAAAUACUAAUGAUACUAUGGUCAUGAUGUUGAGUGAGUUUGUGAAUUUAUGUUUGAUGACGCUGUGGAUCUUUCAUCCAUAGCAGUUCAUGAAAGUGAAAUGGUAAAUAUGGUGAAACAAUAAGUAUUAACUUCCAAGAUGAAUGGCAUGAAAACAUGACUCCAUAAUCAUCGCUAAUUAAGAAAACGUGUUUAGAUUUUUUAGGUUAGUUUUGAAGAUAAGAGGUUAUUGCAGUUUUGGAGAUAACGUUCUUGAUUUUUCAAUUUUAAAAAUUUUAAAAUAUUUUAAUGGAUGAAUGUUUAAUAGAGUUACGUUUCAAUUAUUGAUUUGGAUUUAGUUUGCUUAAAAUUAUAAUAUGUAGGAUAAUUAGGCUAAAAUUGAAAGUUAAGAGGAUUGAUUGGAUUCAUAAAAUCUUUAAGAACUUAAUUGACUAUUGGCUAAUAAUUAAGGGGUUAAAAUGAGCUUUUUAUCUAAAAAAAAUUGGACAGGUUUGUUCUUUGUGAGAAUAGGAGUAGGCAUCCAGAGGAGGAAUUACGAUUUAUUCCUUCAGCAAUUAUGAAUGGAUAGAAGAUAGUAAAAUUCAGAGCCACAUAUGUAUAGAGUGAAUAUGUGAGAGAAAUCGGUUGAUAAAGAGUGUAUUUGAAAUGAAUGAUUGAAUUCAAGGGAUUGAGAGUUUCGCUACGAGCAAAUAGAAGAUGUAUAGUCUAAACUCUAUUUCUUUUAUGAAAGAUAAUAUUUAUUAGUUUAAUUUUUAACUUGACGAGAGUAAGAGAUGAUUCUUUGAGAAUAGAUCCUAUAUCUUUUAUAAAAAAAAAAAAAAACCUUAAUUUUGAUACUAAUGUUGAGAAUCGACUUGGAAUCAAUCUAAAAAAUAUCUAUAUAAGUACAACUCCCAGCAUUGCUUUGGAAAUUCUAGAAUGUAGAGAUGCUGAGUUAGAAUAGGUAGCAGGAUGGAAAACUGUGAAGAGGGCAGAGUGGGUUAUACAAGAAUAUUAGUAAAAAUGGACUUGUUAAGGGGUGUUCCUUGAAGCUGUUAUUCUAGAAGAUGAGAGUAGCCAUCAAUUCUCUCAACAUGUGAUUUGAAUGGAGGCCUGCUAGAUGCCAGGAGUGUAGGAACUUGGACAUCAUGAAUCUCAGUGUAAAAGAAGGCACAAGAGAUAAAUCUGGCAACUUAAGAAUAAAAAAAUGGAUGAUAAUAAGGGUGACAAUGUUGAAGAGGUGGUAAUGGUGGCAGGGAAUAUAAAUGAAGGAAAAUGAAAGAGGAGAGUGCUAGGAAGUGGCAAAGGAAAAGAGAAAAUAUAGGCACAUGAAAAAAUCAUUAAUUAAAUUGUAACAUGGAGAUUGAUGAGAGGCGAAAUGAUAAAAAAAAGUUUAACGUUUCCUAUAUUUAUAUUUUAAUUUAAAUUUUUAAUUUUGAUUUAAUUGACUUAACUUUUAUAUUUUAAUGCAAUUUGAAUUAAUUUAUCAAUUUCUAAAUUUUCAGCAUAUUACAUAUAUUAUUAUUAUUAUUAUUAUUAUUAUUAUUAUUAUUAUUAUUAUUAUAAAUUAAUGAUUAAAUUAUUGAAAAAGUCAAAUAUUUACAUUAUUUUAUAUUUUAAUUUAAAUAUUUAAAUUUUAAUUUAAUUGGGCAAUGUAAUUUUAAUCAAUUUUAAAUAAUUAAAAUAUAAGAGUUCACAUAAAAUAUCAAAGUUAAUAUUUUAUUGUUUUUUAAAUGUAAAUUAACUUUAUAUAUAAAAAUAAUAUUAAGUCACAUUUAAUUAUAAUUAAAUGAUAUAUUUAAUUUUAAAAAUAAUAAUAAUUUAAUCAUUAAAUAUGUGGUAUACAGUUUUAACAGUAAAUAAAUUUUAUUUUAUAUUAAAAAUUAUGAAGAUUUUAUAAUAGAUUUAUUAUUUUUAAUUAUUUUAUAUAUACUACUAUUUUGAAUUAAAUAAUAUAUCUACAAUAAAUUAUUUAUAAUGGUUACUGUAAAAUAAAAUUUAUUAUUAUUGAGGAUGUGGAUUAUAUAUUUAAUAAUUAAAUUAUUUAUUUUAAUUAAUUAAAAUUAUUCUAAACAUAAACGUGAGUCAAUUUAUUUAAAAUUUAAAUAUUUAAAUUAAAAUGUAAAUAAUAAAAAUGUUAGGUUUUUUUCAAUUGCCCAAUUAAAAAAUAAUUAUAAUAAUACAUAUACCACACUAAGUAAAUAAUUAAAUUUAAGAAUUUAAAUAAGAGAUAAAAUUAUAUCAAAAUGCAGAGAUUAAAUCAAUUAAAUUAAAAAUAAAAAAUUUUAAUUAAAAUAUAAACAAGUAAACGUUGGAUAUUUUUUAAUCAAUUAACCUAUAGCUUAUUUUAUACAUGUAUAGUGUUAGAAUUCAAGAUAUAUAAAAUGAUAAAUAAUUAAGAACGUAUUUAUUAUUUAAAUUGCCAAAACUACAUUUGCAUAGAUUUAAUAAUUAUAUGGUUAUUUUAUUUUAUUGUUAUUUCAAAUAUUUAAUUUGAUUGGUUAAUUAUAUUAGUUUUCUAUUUAAAUUCAAAUUAAAUUUUAUUUUAAUCUAAUAUGAAGAACUAACUAAAAUUUAAAACUACCUACUUAAAUAAUUUUUAAUAAUAAAAAUAUUGGUUAAUUAUAUUAGUUUUCUAUUUAAUAUUAUUUUUUAAUAAUAAAAUAUUAUUUUUUAUAAUUCAAAACAUAAAAUUUUAAUAUUUUAAUUAUUAUAAAAAAAAUUUAAAAAUAUAAUAAGUAAUUUUUAAAAUUAUAAAAAUAAAAUUUUAUCGUAUAAAAAAUAUUUUUAUUGUUACAAAAUUAUAUUAUAUUAUUAAAAAAUAAUAAAUUAGGUUAGAUCGAAAUUUAUUUGACUCUUGUACAAUAGUACAAAAACAUAAUUGAUCUAAAAUUUUGAAUUGAAAUUAUUUGUUCAUGGAGUAAAAAUAAAGAUUUAAUUGGAUUUAUAUUUAAAAAAUUAUUAUUAUAAAAUGAUAAAUUUAAUUUGUUAUUAAAUAAUAUUUUUAAAUUAAUAAAAAAUUACAAAAUGUGGCGCAUAUAAACAAUUCCCAAUUUCCUUUUCUUAUCCUCACCACUUUACCAGCAGGCAGAGAGCCUUCCUUUCCGGAUUCUCUAUUUCCUUUCCUCAUUCCCAAUCUCCGAUCCAUCCCUAAAAACAACUGACGAGAGAUCGAUGAUGAUGAAAAUGCCUUGGAGGAGGAAGAGCAGGAGCUUCCAUCUUCAGCUACAAGGGGCAAUUGGUACCCUUCAAUCUCCAUUCCUAUUCUUAUUUACCAAUUAUUGCCAUUCUUCUACUUCCACACUUGAAGAUGCACGCUUCUUGACAAAUAACUUCAAAUCUGCUUCUUUUACCCGCCUUCAUGUUGCCAUUGCUUCCUCUAAUCACGUAAUUCAUAUGAAUCCUCUGCCUUCUAGGGUUCAUUUUAAUAGAUUCUUAUCUGCCCUUGUGAAAAUGAAACAAUAUCACACUGUCCUUUCCAUGUCCAAAACAAUUGAAUUGCUAGGAAUCUCUCACGAUGUUUAUUCUCUUAGCAUCUUAAUUAAUUGCUUCUGCCACUUACACCUUGUGGAUUUUGGCUUCUCUGUUUUUGGUAAGAUGCUCAAAUUCGGAUUGGAGCCUACCACUGUGACAUUUACUACCUUAAUUAAUGGGCUUUGUAUAGAGAGUAAAAUCGACAAAGCAGUGGAAUUUUUCGAUGAUAUGGUUGCACGUGGUUAUCAACCUAAUGUUUAUACUUACAAUGUGAUAGUAAACGGAUUGUGUAAAUUUGGGAAAACAAAUGUGGCUAUUGGGCUGCUAAAGGGAAUGGCUGAUAGAGGUUGUGAGCCAGAUGUUGUGACAUACAGUGCAAUCGUUGACGCCCUUUGCAAAGAUGACCUAGUUGGUGAGGCUUUAGAGCUCUUCUCUCAAAUGAGGAAUAAGGGCAUUUCACCUAAUGUCAUCACUUACACUGGUUUAAUUCAUGGUGUUUGCAAAUUAGGCCAAAAGAACCAAGCUUUGGCCUUGAUGAAUGAAAUGGUGGAGCAAAACGUAUUACCAAAUGUUUAUACCUUCAAUGUAUUGAUUGAUGCACUUUGUAAGGAUGGAAUGGUUUCAGAGGCUCAGAAUACAUUCAAUGUAAUGAUUCAAAGAGGUGUAGAGCCUGACGUGAUCACAUACACAUCCUUAAUUGAUGGUCUUUGCAUUUCAGACCAAUUGAAGGAAGCUUUGGCCUUGUUGAAAGAAAUGGUGGGGAGGAACAUAUCCCCUGAUGUUUUUACCUUCAAUAUAUUGAUCGACACUCUUUGUAAGAAAGGAGUGGUUUCAAUUGCACAAAAUAUAAUCAAAAUAAUGAUUCAAAGAGGUGUGGAACCUGAUGUUGUCACUUAUAAUUCAUUGAUGGAUGGAUAUUGUCUGUGCAAACAAACUGAUAAGGCUAGAAAGCUAUUUGAUCUAAUGGUGACCAAUGAAAUAGCUGACAUUUUUAGCUACAACAUUUUGAUCAAUGGAUAUUGUAAGUGCAAAAUGAUAGAUGAUGCAAAGGAGCUUUUUGAUGAAAUGUUUCAUAAAGGUUUAGUUCCUAAUGCUGUUACUUAUUCUACUCUUAUAAAGGGUAUGUUUCAAGCAGGGAGGCCCCAAAAUGCAAAGGAGCUCUUUAAGGAUAUGUGCUUUCAUGGUCAACAGCCAAACAUAGUAACCUUCUCAAUUAUGAUUGAUGGCUUGUGUAGACAAGGGGAUCUCGAUGAGGCACUCACACUAUUGAAAGCAAUGGAGAAAAGUCAGUUGAAGCCUAAUCUUGUGAUCUAUAGCAGUCUGAUCAACGGUAUGUGCAAAGUUGGGAAGAUUAAUGAUGCCAAGGAACUUUUUUCUAGUCUUUUUGAAAUUGGUUUACAACCUGAUGUUUAUGUAUAUAGUGCAAUUAUGAAAGGACUCUGCCAACAAGGAUUAAUGGAUGAAGCGUAUAAGGUAUUUAAAGACAUGGAAAAGGUAGGAUGUUUACCAAAUAAUUGUUGUUAUAAUAUCAUCAUUCAAGGGUUUCUCAAG
Molecule: long non-coding RNA, 19698 nt
Filed under: Manihot esculenta (cassava)
Lineage: Eukaryota; Viridiplantae; Streptophyta; Magnoliopsida; Malpighiales; Euphorbiaceae
Description: long non-coding RNA (MESC_LNC005137)
Source: RNAcentral